AUCUAACUGACGAGUUCCAAAUAGGACGAAGUGACGCGUUUCAAACUAGAU
Molecule: non-coding RNA, 51 nt
Filed under: Schistosoma curassoni
Lineage: Eukaryota; Metazoa; Platyhelminthes; Trematoda; Strigeidida; Schistosomatidae
Source: RNAcentral